This 377-nucleotide ribosomal RNA is filed under the name uncultured bacterium. Its description in RNAcentral is "bacterial SSU rRNA". It matches the Rfam family "Bacterial small subunit ribosomal RNA", at positions 523 to 898 of the family's 1533-position model. The record is from RNAcentral.
GGACGAACCGCACAAACGUUAUUCGGAAUCACUGGGCUUAAAGGGUGCGUAGGCGGUCAUGCAAGUUGGGUGUGAAAUCCCUCGGCUCAACCGAGGAAUUGCGCUCAAAACUGCAUGGCUUGAGGGAGAUAGAGGUGAGCGGAACUCAGGGUGGAGCGGUGAAAUGCGUUGAUAUCCUGAGGAACACCAGUUGCGAAUGCGGCUCACUGGGUCUCUUCUGACGCUGAGGCACGAAAGGCAGGGGAGCGAACGGGAUUAGAUACCCCGGUAGUCCUGGCUGUAAACGUUGAGCACUUGGUCGGAGUAUCUUCCAUAGUUUUCCGGCCGUAGCGAAAGUGAUAAGUGCUCCGCCUGGGGAGUAUGGUCGCAAGGCUGAA